This 426-nucleotide long non-coding RNA is filed under the name Carica papaya (papaya). RNAcentral's name for it is "long non-coding RNA (CPAP_LNC015532)". Lineage: Eukaryota; Viridiplantae; Streptophyta; Magnoliopsida; Brassicales; Caricaceae. The record is from RNAcentral.
GGGUAAGGGGUCCUUACUUAAUUCGAUGUUGAAAAUUGAAUUUUAACUGCGGCUACGGGCAGUCCCUGGAUUCCCUGAAUUUUUUCCUCGGGAACUGAAAUGCGCUUACAGUACCUACACAUGUCCCAAAAAACUCAAAAAUCAGACCCAAGGCCUAUUCGACCAAUUUUAAAAUUUCAGCACGGUGGCUCUGCCAUGCUCCGACGAUGGUGUCGCCGCGAGUGGUGGCGAUCCGCCUCGGGUUGGCUAUUUCCGGCUGAAUUCAGUCAAACUUGCAUUGGUUCCUGUGAGAAAACACCUGUAGGGAACAGAUCUCAGCCGUUCGAUCGCGCACACGCAGAUCACCCACGUGGCUCCUUUCCACGUGGCCUCCUGCGUCAGUGUCUCUGCCACGCGGCGUGUCCUGGUUGGCCGGGGCUGCUAACC